Molecule: long non-coding RNA, 1592 nt
Organism: Nematostella vectensis (starlet sea anemone)
Lineage: Eukaryota; Metazoa; Cnidaria; Anthozoa; Actiniaria; Edwardsiidae
Exons: 2
Source: RefSeq, a predicted model, not a curated record
CAAAUUAUAUCAAACCUUGUUGCUUGAUGAGAGAGCUCGCACGCUUGGCUUAGCACAAGUGGUUUUCAAGAACCCGUGAACAGGGCUGAGCAGUUCUUACUGAUGUUCUUAAGGGGGCAGCGUCAUGUACUGCGCAUGUCUGGAGUCAGUGUAUAUUGUAGGCUUUUAAUUGUCUACAAACAGUUGAACUUUAGCUGUCCAUGGUAACAUGGAGCGUCUCCUCGACAUGCCAAUGGCAUCAAAACGUCCGCAGAUGGAUUUUAGGAAAAUUCACCGAGUUUUAUCCUCUUAGCUGCUAUGAAGUUCAGAAGUUUUAGCAAUUUCCCCGGAGGGGGGCUUCAAGAGCCCCGCCCCUCCCCAGUCUGAAUAGGGUUAAUUUAAAAUGUAAUAUUUUAUUAAAACUAUGUUUUUGACAGUUUGUGGUCCUUUCCUUUCACUUAAAAUCUCCAGUUUUAUAGGGGUGGAAUUGAUUAUCACAAAAAUGAAGGAAACAUACACUUAAUUUUCUGGGUCACGUGAAAUCGACGGUUUGCUUGGGUGGAUUAAGGCAAAACUCGUUAUGUGUCAUAAACUAUUGUUAAUAAACAGAUCCCCGGUGAAAAAGCUCCGUUAAAAUGUUUUCCAACCUCGCCAUAUGAAAAAUCGUUUGCUUAAUGAAACACGCCUGUAAAACUGUAAGUACCCACACUUUGGCGUGGCAUCCCAUCAAAAACUGUUCAUGGCAUAAAUGUUAAUCCAUAUGCAAGAGUAAAAUCAUUAACUAGCAUAUUUAGUGUGUUUUGUAUUAAUUUAUAUCAUAGUAAUUGCACCUCUAUAACACUGGAAGUAUUGUUAAGAGGGCGUAGCCCUUGUAACGAUAAUAUGAAAUAAGUUAGCCUUUAUCUACCUGAGAAUGUUUGGGCCCGUACAUUACCAUUAAGUGUAUGUUUCCUUCAUUUUUGUGAUAAUCAAUUCCACCCCUAUAAAACUGGAAGUAUUUGUUUUUGGGCGUGGCAUCAUAUCUAGAAUUUAUCGUGGCGCAAACAUCUAUCAUCCUGCCAAAUUUCAUAACCCUACUAUUAAUUUGAACAAUUCUGCACCAUUUUUCUGCACUAUAUUGCAAAGCUCUUAUCAUGACACCCCCCCAUUAAAUUUCAGUGACAUCACAUUUUGAAUAUAAUAUAUAUUAUAAACCAAAAAUGGAACAGCAGGAGAGAUACACAUAAUAAGUAUUUCAAGUCGAAUAACACACAUUAAUUCUACAUUCUCUUUCACUCUGAUGAUUUUGAAUUGUUUUUGAGCAUCUGCAUGUUCUUAGAAUUAGGUAAAAUCUCAGGUUGGGCGUUCUUAUAAAACAAAAAAAGUUUACUCUGAUACUCACGGCCCAGUAUAAGAAGAGCAGUAGCAGGCCUUGAAUUAUUUGGGCGAUACAGAAACAGUAAGAAAAUAUUGGGAACACAGCAACAUCCUUUACUGAAAAUAUAUGAUCCUUUUAGAAAGGUGGACUACUUGAAAAGCCUGUUAGGGUUUGUCUAGUCCUCCUACCAAUUGUAAUAAGAAUAUAUGUAUCUGAUAAUAAUCAUUAAUAUGGCAAAUAAACAAAUCAAAUCCUA